This 5203-nucleotide long non-coding RNA is filed under the name Brassica rapa (field mustard). RNAcentral's name for it is "long non-coding RNA (BRAP_LNC008616)". The record is from RNAcentral. Lineage: Eukaryota; Viridiplantae; Streptophyta; Magnoliopsida; Brassicales; Brassicaceae.
CAAACUCCUUUUAAAUAUCCUUUGAAUUAUUUUGAUGAGUUUGUUAGUGUGCAGGAACAGCCAGCUGUAAGGAGAAAAACAACCAGAGAUGUGGCUGAUCCAAAAAGGCAACCCUUUCAAAUUGAUGUCCAACAAAUUUGUGAUAACCUUGUGAAGGGAGUGGACAAAGCCCUUAAGGACUUCAGCAAGAGCCAAAAGAAGAGCACAUCUACACGUGCCCCAGUAGCUGAGCCAUCCUUGUUCAUCAGUAAGAAAGCCCAAGGUGAAUCUGAAAACCAUUUUGAAGAACUUAUAGAUUUUUCAGAUUCUCUACCCAUUUUUGAUGAAUCUGAUGAAGAGCUAAUUGAAAGCUUGAUGUUUUGUGAAAAAGAUUGUGAUCUUCCUUCUCUUGAAACUGAGUUUAAUCUUGAUAAUGAACAAGCUAUUGUAGAACUAACUGUUUUGCAACCGGAGCUUCCGAGUAGUCUUGUUUUGUCUCCACAGGUUUUUGAGGAAGAGCCACUGGAUUUUCCACAUCAGUGCCCAUGUCUUGACACUAGGAUAUGUUUGGAUGAUGAUCUAGGUCCUAUCUUUGAUGAGGAGGACGAAACUGGUCCAGUCUUUGAUGAAGAAGCAACAAGCAUCACAUCCAUUGCUAUGGAGAAUUAUCUAUGCUUUGAUCCCGGCACAACUCCUGCCCCUUUACCUCCGGAUCUUCAAGAGCACUGUGAGGAACCUUCUUCUCUUAAUUCUCUGCCUGACAUGUUUGUGAAAGUCAGUACUGAUGAUGUAAUUCGUUUUGGUCUUGACAAGAUGAAAGAUUUUUUUGUUUCAAAAUCUGUUUUUGAUAACAUGAUUUAUUCUUUAAAAAUCUUUGAACCUGAUAAAUGUCUUGAUCAAUCACGUUUUCAAAGUGUCAAUGGCAUCACUUCUGGAAUUAUUUUGAGCUUUGAUCAGUUCUUGGAACAUAACAAAGGUUUUCAUCUUCUUGGAAGGCCAUUUGAUCUUGAUUUGCAACAAACUGAUUUUUGUGCUGAAAAAUCUCUUGAUUCGUUAGUUUGCAAAGGAAAUAGCUUUGAUCUGAGUUCUUCUAGACAUGUACUGAUCACUGAUGAAUUGUUUGCAUCCUCUUAUGCCUUGGACGAAAUUUUGAUUCAGAAGUUGCUGGAACAGAAAUCACUUGAAACUGAAAAUGAUUUUCGUGAUCUUGAAUUUUGUGGUUCUGUUUUGCAGCCUGAUCUCUUGAGUUUUGAAACUGAUAAUACUUGGCAUUUUCUGAGAUCAUUUCGUGAUAAUGGUGUUGUCUUGAGUUCUGAUGAUAUUUUGGUUUACAACACAUUCUUUGAGAAAUGCCUUGAACUUUUGAUAAAUGAUUCUCAAACUGAACUUAAGCUUGUGUGUUCAGAUGUUGGGAAGGAUAUGCCCAUUUUGAAAAUGAAUACUGUUGUUGCAUAUCUUGAUAAAAUUCUUGUCUGUAAUAUUUACUUUGAUGAGCACCUUGAAAGGCUGAAAAAUGUGCAAUUUGUUCUUGGAAAAGAUAUCUUGAUUUGUGAUUUGAACAAAUAUUUAUCUUGCACAUUUGAUCCUGGUCUUUUAGUGUUUGUUUUGAGUAUCCAGGAAAGACAGGUUCAGCCUCUGAAUGAAAGCAUUGGCCGUGCCCAACAACCUCAGAUUUGGAGAAGCUUUGUUGUUCAAACCGGCUACCUUGGUGCCAGCGACAGAGGUUCAGUCCAAGAAAGAUAUCUCAACAGUACGAAGGUCUUUUGUCUUGAAUCCAAUUUUACAAGAAAGCCAACUCAUCAAGGAUUCACUGAGGCUUGGAAUCGCAUGAAAAGCUUCACGGAUGAAGAAGUUAUGAAUUUUCCAAACCGGAGGUUCUUCAGUCCAUCUAUCCGCGAGUACCAGAUUUCUAAAGGAGAUUCAUGUCCCAGAAAGAAUCGACCUGAGCCAAAACCGAUCCUCCAUGAACCAAAGGUGUUUCCUCGGUCAUUCUCCUGUCUAAACCAAAAGCACUGUAAGGAUCAUGAGUUGAUUGCCUUUACUCUUCAUGAAAAUGUUUUGAAACCGAGAAUUUCAAAAAGAAAACAUAUUCUUACUUGGUUGAAAAACGUUUUGCUCAAACCUUUUCAUGAAUUGAUUUCAUUGAGCUGUGCUUUGAAAGAGAUUUGGUGUAGGAAAAAGCAUGAACUAAAAUUGCUUAGGCCAAAGAAUUCAUUUGAUUUCGUUCAUGAUGAUAAUUUUUCAAAUUUUGCAUUGUCUCUUUCUUUCCAUAACAGUUUCUCACCUUGGCCUGAUUUUGAGAUUGAUAAAUCAAUUUUUGGCAACCAGCUUACUUGCUUAAUGCUUGCCCACGUCCUUGAUGAUUAUCCUAAGGGCAUGGAUCCUGAUUUUGAUGUCUUAAGGAUAGAGAAACCCUUUGAUUAUUUCUUUGGCAGAUUUGAUGUGGUUUCUCUAGUUGCUUUGGAUAAACAGGAUAAGCAUGAUCAGUUUCUAAGGAGAGCAAGCACCAAUGGACGCCAAAGUACUUGGAAUUCCUUGAUAAAAAUGACUUCAAAACUCCAAGGAAGUUUCUGUCCAUUCUAUUCAUUUACUGAAUUUCCCUUGAAUUUUAAUUUCUUUGUAUCUGAUUUAUCUCUUUUUGAUAUAGGUACAUUGGAUUUGAGGACAAAUCCUUUUGAAGAAAGAGGGAAUGAUAGAACGCGGUCCACGGAUCUGUACAUGGAGCCGAACCAUCAUGAAGUUCAGGACGUUCUGAAGUUUUCAACCGAGGUUCAUGAUUUUCACCAUACUGGCCAGACUGACCGGACUGUCCCAAAUGCAUCCGGAUGUGAGCUUUGGCUGGAACCAUGGCCAGAUGAUCGAUUUCACUGUACUGGACUUUGUCUUGACCGUCCUGUUUUCCAUUUGAUGAAGAACAGUCGAGACGUAAUCGCAUUCGGACGCACGGAUCCUGAGUUAGGUCAUUGCUAUACAUUUCUGGACAGUACCACAUGUACAGCCCGGAUGUCCAGUUUGAGGCUUCAUCAAUACCCAUGUCCAGACGAUCGAAUUCACCGAACUGGAGCUCGUAUUUCCCGUACUGAUUGACAUUUUAAGAGCAACGGUCGAGACAGAUUUGGAUUCGGACGAGUGGAACUCAAGAUAGGCCGUGACACUUCAAAACUGGCUACUUUGGACUGUCCUGCUUGUGUACUGGCCCAGUCCGCAGGACAUGCUUCAGGAAGCAAUGAACCUGGACGGAAUUUGAAGGGUUUUUCACUAGUCAAAGUGUGAUUUCGUGCCUUGACCAGAUCUGGUCAAUUUUAUCAUUUUCUAUGUUUAGAUUUCCCACAUUUUUCUUUAAGUCUUUUGACUAGAACUUCUAUAUAAUGUAACCAUCAGAUCUGAAUAAGAUAAUUUCGUUUUUGCUUUCAUUCUUUUGAGUUUUUACUCUCUUUGUUCUUUGUUAGAACAUUUCUUAGUUUCUUGGUGAGGUUAUCUCCAAGUUUCGAUCCUUCUUUUGUUGGACCGGUGCGUCACAUCCGGCAACGAUCGAAGUCUGGUAGUAUCUUUGGGCUAUUCCGCAACCCUUAGUGUCACCGUUCAUACCAUCAGUUCUCAAUCUUCUCGGAUCUGAGUUCAUAUCAACCUUACCGAAAGAGUGAUCCUUAUUUUGGUUCUAUCAAGUGGUAUCAGAGCCACUCUCUCGGUAACUCUAUUAUCAUUCCAUCUUCUCAUCUCUCCAUCUUCUUCAAACACUUCUUCUUCUACCUUUCUUAAAUCCGGGCCCCUCAUUACCAUCCAUAUAUAUAUAAAAAAAAGAUUUACGAUUUGAUUCAAAAAAAAAAAGAAAAAAAAAGAAAAAGUUCAAAGUUUGUUUUGUGGAUUGGUGGUGGAAGAGAAAGCCUGCUGGCUGAGGAGAAAUCCAGCCUUUGAGGUGGUUAAAACGGAUUUCAAAAAUCAAAAAUCUCUUAUCUUUCUAUCUUGAGAAAAUUCCCUUGUUUGCUUGGAUUUUCCCAUUGGGAUUCUUUGAUUUGUUCUCUUAGAACAUUGAGUAAAAACUUGUGUGUGAUCACCUAAAUCUGAGAGAAACACUUGUGUGGGUGAGGAUCAAACACUUGAGAGUGUGAGGUUUUUAUCUACUAACUUUGUGUUGAGAUUUUCAGGUUUAUGAUGUUUGGUUUGCAAAGGAAAAGUAACAAGGAGAAGCCUCAACGAAAUUCUAACUCUCAAACUCCUUUUAAAUAUCCUUUGAAUUAUUUUGAUGAGUUUGUUAGUGUGCAGGAACAGCCAGCUGUAAGGAGAAAAACAACCAGAGAUGUGGCUGAUCCAAAAAGGCAACCCUUUCAAAUUGAUGUCCAACAAAUUUGUGAUAACCUUGUGAAGGGAGUGGACAAAGCCCUUAAGGACUUCAGCAAGAGCCAAAAGAAGAGCACAUCUACACGUGCCCCAGUAGCUGAGCCAUCCUUGUUCAUCAGUAAGAAAGCCCAAGGUGAAUCUGAAAACCAUUUUGAAGAACUUAAAGAUUUUUCAGAUUCUCUACCCAUUUUUGAUGAAUCUGAUGAAGAGCUAAUUGAAAGCUUGAUGUUUUGUGAAAAAGAUUGUGAUCUUCCUUCUCUUGAAACUGAGUUUAAUCUUGAUAAUGAACAAGCUAUUGUAGAACUAACUGUUUUGCAACCGGAGCUUCCGAGUAGUCUUGUUUUGUCUCCACAGGUUUUUGAGGAAGAGCCACUGGAUUUUCCACAUCAGUGCCCAUGUCUUGACACUAGGAUAUGUUUGGAUGAUGAUCUAGGUCCUAUCUUUGAUGAGGAGGACGAACCUGGUCCAGUCUUUGAUGAAGAAGCAACAAGCAUCACAUCCAUUGCUAUGGAGAAUUAUCUAUGCUUUGAUCCCGGCACAACUCCUGCCCCUUUACCUCCGGAUCUUCAAGAGCACUGUGAGGAACCUUCUUCUCUUAAUUCUCUGCCUGACAUGUUUGUGAAAGUCAGUACUGAUGAUGUAAUUCGUUUUGGUCUUGACAAGAUGAAAGAUUUUUUUGUUUCAAAAUCUGUUUUUGAUAACAUGAUUAAUUCUUUAAAAAUCUUUGAACCUGAUAAAUGUCUUGAUCAAUCACGUUUUCAAAGUGUCAAUGGCAUCACUUCUGGAAUUAUUUUGAGCUUUGAUCAGUUCUUUGAACAUAACAAAGGUUUUCAUCUUCUUGGAAGGCCAUUUGAUCUUGAUUUGCAACAAACUGAUUUUUGUGCUG